RNAcentral lists this ribosomal RNA (447 nucleotides) under uncultured bacterium. RNAcentral describes it as "partial 16S ribosomal RNA". It matches the Rfam family "Bacterial small subunit ribosomal RNA", at positions 330 to 793 of the family's 1533-position model. The record is from RNAcentral.
CCCAGACUCCUACGGGAGGCAGCAGUGGGGGAUAUUGCACAAUGGGGGGAACCCUGAUGCAGCGACGCCGCGUGGGUGAAGGAGCGUUUCGGCGCGUAAAGCCCUAUCGGCAGGGAAGAAGGAGGACGGUACCUGACUAAGAAGCCCCGGCUAACUACGUGCCAGCAGCCGCGGUAAUACGUAGGGGGCAAGCGUUAUCCGGAUUUACUGGGUGUAAAGGGGGCGCAGACGGCAGCGCAAGCCAGGAGUGAAAGCCCGGGGCCCAACCCCGGGACUGCUCUUGGAACUGGGCGGCUGGAGUGCAGGAGGGGCAGGCGGAAUUCCUGGUGUAGCGGCGAAAUGCGUAGAUAUCAGGAGGAACACCGGUGGCGAAGGCGGCCUGCUGGACUGCGACUGACGUUGAGGCCCGAAAGCGUGGGGAGCAAACAGGAUUAGAUACCCGAGUAU